Long non-coding RNA from Brassica oleracea var. oleracea, 186 nucleotides. RefSeq lists it as uncharacterized. NCBI's taxonomy places the organism in Eukaryota, Viridiplantae, Streptophyta, Magnoliopsida, Brassicales, Brassicaceae. The transcript has 3 exons. The record is from RefSeq and is a predicted model, not a curated record.
UAAUGUUGUGAGGAAAGCUGAGCAGCAGCUUAUCAAUGACAGGUCACGGAUCAAGGAGUAUCUUCCCAUUGUUGGAUUGGUUGAGUUCAACAAGUUAAGCGCUAAGCUCAUAUUAGGCGCUGACAGUCCUGCUAUUCGGGAGAAUCGGGUUACAACCGUGGAGUGUUUGUCUGGUACUGGUUCCCU